AACGAACGCUGGCGGCAGGCUUAACACAUGCAAGUCGAACGCGUGCAGCGAAUGCACGAGUGGCGCACGGGUGAGUAACGCGUGGAUAUCUGCCUUCGUGGUUCGGAAUAACCCCGGGAAACUGGGGCUAAUACCGAAUGGUUCCUACGGGAUAAAGAUUUAUCGCCAGAAGAUGAGUCCGCGUCCGAUUAGCUAGUUGGUGAGGUAACGGCUCACCAAGGCGACGAUCGGUAGCGGUCUGAGAGGACGAUCAGCCACACUGGGACUGAGACACGGCCCAGACUCCUACGGGAGGCAGCAGUGGGGAAUAUUGGACAAUGGGCGCAAGCCUGAUCCAGCGAUGCCGCGUGUGUGAAGAAGGCC
This 363-nucleotide ribosomal RNA is filed under the name uncultured bacterium. RNAcentral describes it as "bacterial SSU rRNA". It matches the Rfam family "Bacterial small subunit ribosomal RNA", at positions 29 to 416 of the family's 1533-position model. The record is from RNAcentral.